RNAcentral lists this ribosomal RNA (668 nucleotides) under uncultured bacterium. RNAcentral's name for it is "bacterial SSU rRNA". It matches the Rfam family "Bacterial small subunit ribosomal RNA", at positions 8 to 692 of the family's 1533-position model. The record is from RNAcentral.
AGAGUUUGAUCCUGGCUCAGGAUGAACGCUGGCGGCGUGCUUAACACAUGCAAGUCGAACGGGAAGGCGACCUUCGGGUCGUUGGAGAGUGGCGCACGGGUGAGUAACACGUAGCUUAUCUGCCCUAGAGAGUGGGAUAACGCACCGAAAGGUGUGCUAAUACCACAUAAGCUCACGAUGAAUAGGUAGUUGUGAGAAAAAGCUGAGGCGCUCUAGGAUGAGGCUGCGGCCCAUCAGCUAGUUGGUGUGGUAAAAGCACACCAAGGCGACGACGGGUAGGGGACCUGAGAGGGUGACCCCCCACACUGGGACUGAGACACGGCCCAGACUCCUACGGGAGGCAGCAGUGAGGAAUAUUGCCCAAUGGACGCAAGUCUGAGGCAGCGACGCCGCGUGGGUGAAGAAGGUUUUCGGAUCGUAAAGCCCUUUUCUUGGUGACGAGAAAGGACGGUAGCCAAGGAAUAAGUGUCGGCUAACUACGUGCCAGCAGCCGCGGUAAAACGUAGGACGCAAGCGUUAUCCGGAAUUACUGGGCGUAAAGCGCGCGCAGGCGGGUUAGCAAGUCUUUCGUGAAAGCUCCCGGCUAAACUGGGAGAGGUCGGAAGAAACUGUUAGUCUUGAGGGUGGCAGAGGAAUGUGGAAUUCCGCGUGUAGUGGUGAAAUGCGUA